Molecule: long non-coding RNA, 1205 nt
Organism: Hypomesus transpacificus
Lineage: Eukaryota; Metazoa; Chordata; Actinopteri; Osmeriformes; Osmeridae
Exons: 3
Source: RefSeq, a predicted model, not a curated record
CAGAGGAGACGAUCGGGGAGGGGGGAUCUGGAGAUGUUUGUAGAUAUUUGGGAAGAUUUGUGGGGAUCUGGGGCAAUGAUGUGGACGUGUCACACUUAACUGUCUACCUAUUGAGAUGGAAGCUUGGAUAGAUUUUGUGCUGUAAAACCAGUCUGCGGGACAGAUCUUUAGUUUGUUCCUACAUGAGCGAAUGGAAUGAAUCUUCUUACUAUGAUGACAUUAUGUUUCCUGCUGCUAAGGCAGACGGUAGAAGAAGAGGAGAUGAGUCAGCCGCGACAUGAGGCUCUGUGAGUAGCAGUCACUGACAGCACAACAUGCCACCACAAGCCCACAUGAGACUGUCGCCACACGCUUCCAAGAGGACACCCUUGUGGCACUGUCUUCCAUCAAGAGGACACAUUUUGUAAACAAACUUGCAGGCUGAUGUCACACGCUGUCAUUACCUUUGCGAGUGCACCUGUGUGUUUGUGUGUGUGUGUGUUUGAGGGGGUGCUCAAGCCACUGUCAGUUGGCGGUGGCAUCAAGUCCUCACUUGCAGUUGUGCCACUUAGCUAACGUGUGUCUUGUGUGUGUGUGUCACAAUACCUCCCUGCUCCUCCCUCCUCCCCCGAAUUCUGUGUGAGAACAUCACCCCCCCCUGAUUCCCAGACAUGAACACAUCCCAUCCAGAAGCUCACAGCCAAUCAAGCCUUUCACACUUCCUGUGCAAUGACGUGAUGAGUCGUGAAGAGCUGAUAAUGGCAAAGAUCUCACAGUCAUCAACGAGGGUGUAAUGAGGGCUCAUGCUGUCCGUUUGAAGUGGUGAUCAGACAAAUCAGUUCCUGUGUGCUAAAUGUCCUCUUCACCUGGUGAGAGUCCUACAUUGCUGUGAUUGCCUCGUCUUUGAUGGUCAUCUUGAAAUAUUGUAUAUAUCUCCUUUUUUAAUCAUUUUUUCAAGUAUGUUGAAUCAGACAAUGUAGAACUUACAACAAUGUAGAUCAGAACAAUACAAACUAGGCUUAUUUUGCACUUACAGCCUAAUUCAACAUUUCCGUAAAAAUGUUGAAUAACAAAAACCUAAAAAGUGUGUCAUAUCAGCCCAUUACUUGUGUAACUGUCCAUGCUCCAUAUUGUUUGGCACACUUGUUUUUGUGGAAGAGAAACAGUUCUUAACUCACGUCACACUUGCUCAGGCUGACAAAAACAACAUUAGAACACAUGCAUAC